RNAcentral lists this long non-coding RNA (1909 nucleotides) under Nicotiana benthamiana. RNAcentral's name for it is "long non-coding RNA (NBEN_LNC030326)". The record is from RNAcentral. Lineage: Eukaryota; Viridiplantae; Streptophyta; Magnoliopsida; Solanales; Solanaceae.
UUCUAGUGCCCCUUCAUAUGAUUAGAUCAAAAAGUCUUUAGGUCUUUGUAAUCCUGAAGAUUGUAAACUUCUUCAUCUGUAUGUAUUUGGGUAUUUAUCUUUUUUCAAUUUUAUAGAGUACUUCUCUAUAACAUAUUUCUGUUCUUAUCACCCUAUGUUUUUUAGCUCUUCAAUUCAGAUCUUAAUGGCCUUCACAUUUUAAUUUGAACUUGUAGACAUGAGGCAAAGUUCAUCGAGAAUAUUGUUGAAGUGAUUGCAAGCAAGCUACGUCCCAGAGCCUUAAACAAUGCUCCUUACCUCAUCGAAAUCAGUUAUCGGGCUGAAGAUAUUAUCUUGUGGUUACAAGAUAUAUCAACUAAUGUAGGGCUGUAUGUGAUCUGUGGGAUUGGGGGAAUUGGGAAGACAACCCUUGCCAAAUUUGCCUAUAACUCAAGUGCAAGAUCAUUUGAAGGUAGCAGCUUUCUUGCAAACAUCAGUGAAACUGCAAAACAAUGUAAUGGUUUAGUUCGUCUGCAGAAGCAAGUUUUGUAUGAUAUAGUUGGAAAAAAAGAGAGGAUAUCCAAUGCUGAUGAAGGAAUUAUGAUGAUUGAAGAUGCCCUACGCUAUAAGCAAAUUCUUCUUGUUCUUGAUGAUGUUGAUGAAGUUGACCAGAUAGAUAUACUUUUAGGAAUGAGAGAUUGGCUUAAUCCUGCUAGUAAAAUCAUUAUAACAACGAGGUAUGAGUCAUUGCUAAAGCCUUCAGUACCUCACAAGGUACUUAAAGUAGAAGCGUUGAAUAAAAUGGAUUCCCUGAAGCUGUUUAGCUGGCAUGCCUUCGGAGAAGACCAUCCUUUGGAAGGUUAUCUCGAGCUCUCAAAACGGGUGGUUCUUCAAUGUGCAGGACUUCCUUUAGCUCUUCGUGUUUUAGGUUCAGCGCUGUCAGGUAGAAGACCAGAAAUAUGGGGAAGUGCAUUAGAAAAGCUGGAAACAAUCCCUGAUGGUCAUGUCAUUGAAAAUCUUAAAGUGAGUUUUUAUUCUCUAGAAGAUGACCAUGACAAAAAUAUAUUCCUUCAUAUAGCUAUUUUCUUUCUUGGGAUGGAUAGAGACGACUCCGUCAGAAUACUGAAUGGAUGUGGUUUUCACACAAUAAUUGGGAUGCAAAACCUCAUUGAUAGAAGUCUUUUGACAAUCAAUGAGUUAAAUAAGUUGGAGAUGCACCAGUUGCUUCGAGACCUUGCGAGAGAUAUCGUCCGUAGAGAAUCACAGGAUCCUGGAAAACGCAGUUAAAUAAGUUGGAGAUGCACCAGUUGCUACGAGACCUUGGGAGAGAUAUCGUCCGUAUGGAAUCACAGGAUCCUGGAAAACGCAGUAGACUUUGGAAUAACAAGGAUUCUUUCAGAGUGUUGAACGAUAAGACUGUGAGACAUUUAAUAUGUGUGUUCUGUCCUUCUUUGCUGCAUCAUACCCUUACAAUUUAUUUAUUUCUUACCAAAUUUCCUGUUAGGGCACUGAAAGGAUUGAAGGGAUCAGCCUUGACAUGCCUGUGUUGAUGGAAGAUAAAUCAGCCAAAAGAUUUUUCACUGGCUCGAAAAUGCGCUUCCUAAACGAUCAUGUAGAGAGCUGUGCAGAUCAUAAUGUCUCGCUGCAGCAGCCCUCUUUUGGCAUUUAUUCAUGGCAUUCAGUAGACACUUCAUCAAGAAACUCAAACUACGUCAUAGAAACUGAUGCAUUUAUGAUAAUGCGAAACCUAAGAGUGCUCAAACUAAAUGAUGUGAACCUCAUUGGAUGCUAUAAAGAAUUCCCAAAGAGAUUAAAAUGGUUGUCUUGGCGUAAAUGCCCUUUAAAAUCCUUACCUAGUGACCUUUCCUGGGAAGGCCUCGUUUCUAUUGACAUGCGGUACAGCAAUUUACAACAAACAUGGAGUGAAACU